CAGUCGCCGCGGGAAUACGAAGGGUGCAAGCGUUACUCGGAAUUACUGGGCGUAAAGCGCACGCAGGCGGUCUGUCAAGUCAGAUGUGAAAUCCCCGGGCUUAACCUGGGAACUGCAUUUGAAACUGGCAGGCUAGAGUCUUGUAGAGGGGGGUAGAAUUCCAGGUGUAGCGGUGAAAUGCGUAGAGAUCUGGAGGAAUACCGGUGGCGAAGGCGGCCCCCUGGACAAAGACUGACGCUCAGGUGCGAAAGCGUGGGGAGCAAACAGGAUUAGAUACCCCAGUAGUCCCUGUCUCUUAUAC
Molecule: ribosomal RNA, 301 nt
Filed under: uncultured bacterium
Lineage: Bacteria
Description: partial 16S ribosomal RNA
Rfam family: Bacterial small subunit ribosomal RNA
Source: RNAcentral